GUCCCUGUAGCGCAAGAGAUAGCGCGUUGGACUUUUAAUCCAAAGGUAGUGGGUUCAAAUCCCAUCUGAGAUG
This is a non-coding RNA of Trichonephila inaurata madagascariensis, 73 nucleotides long. NCBI's taxonomy places the organism in Eukaryota, Metazoa, Arthropoda, Arachnida, Araneae, Nephilidae. The record is from the annotation of a GenBank genome assembly.